Cyprinus carpio carpio is the source of this 4287-nucleotide long non-coding RNA. NCBI's taxonomy places the organism in Eukaryota, Metazoa, Chordata, Actinopteri, Cypriniformes, Cyprinidae. The record is from Ensembl.
UAUGCAAGGAUAAGCAUUUCCAGAACAGCACCGUGUGUUCAUCUGCAAACUUCACAUUUUGGCAGAAUCCAUACUAAAACCUCCAAGUGCUGACUUAAAAUAAAUUAAAUUACACUGAACCUCCCAGAGUCCACCUUGAAACAAAGUCAUGUUUACAAGCUUCUGGACGGAGGCAGCGAGUGGUGUUGAGGAUGAAUUUCACCAGAUCACGGUGCAGAUUGAAGUUACAUGUUCUGUCAUGGAGGAAAACCUUUCUAUGUCUGCCUGAGGCCACACAGAUCAGCCUGAGAUUCAUGUUGAAGUUUAAUUCAUGCUCUGAAUUGAUAAACGUCCUCUCCGCUGCACACAUCUGACAAAAGCCCAUUCCUUCAUGGCAUCAUCCAUCACGAAAUCACAGGGAUCAAUCAGCAGCUGUUUGGCCGGUGACAGAUAUAUUGGAGCGGCUUUGCUGUGUACAGAGAGUCUGUUGGAGAAGGGAUCUGUGCGGAAAGCUGUAUGUUCUCUGACUGGCUCAUGCAGGAUGUUCUGGGAAAGAGAUGGAUGGCAUUUAAAUCCACCUUUACUGGAAAACAGUCCAAGAUCUGCUUCCCAGAGUCUCCAGGAUGAAUGUUCCUCGAGUGUUUAACAGUGUUUCUCUCAUCUGUCUGCGAGCAGAUGUCCUGCUUCUAGAAUCUAAUGCACCAGUUUUGCCAGAGGUUAAAGAGGUCUGGUAAACGUGUUUCACAAAUGCAGUUCGUUGUUUUUAAUCAGUUAUGUAUGUUUUAUCACACAACUUCAGUAAAAAUCACAGAGCAAAUAACGUAAUCCUAUCUGGAUAAUCUAGUCUGUGAUUAUGUACUGUAAGUGUGUAUUUAUUUAAUCAUUUAUUUAUCUAUUUAUUUAUUUUAGUCAUUUAUUUAUUUAUUCACUUUAUUUUAGAUUAAAAUGCAGCUGUUUUUGAAAAGUAGAUUUUUGUAGAUUUUUCAGAUUCAUUUAUUUAAUCAGUUUAUUUUAGUUGUUUAUUUAAUUAGUAAGUCAAGUAUUUAUUAAUCUAAUUUAUUUAUUUAGUCAGGCAUUAAUUAAUUGAUUGAUUGAUUAAGUAAUUAAUAUAGUCACAUAUUUAUUUAGUUAGCCAUUUGUCUAUUAAUCUAUGCAUUGAGUAACUCGUUCAUUAAUUUAUUUAUUUAGUAAUGUAUUUAUCUAGUAAUUUAAUCAGUCAUUCAUUUUAUUUUUGUAUUUAGUCAUGUAUUUAUUCAGUCAUUUGUUAAUUAAUCUAUUUAUUCGCUUGUAAUUUGUAAUUUAAAUUCAUUCAUUCAUUCAUUCAUUUAUUCAGUUUGCUAGGUAAAAUAUGUAUUUCAGGUGCUGAAUAAAAUAAAAUGAAAUUAAAAUGAAGAUCAUAUGCUGCUGUUAGCCCUUCUGAUCAUCUAUAAAUACUCCAUAUUUAUUCCUUUCCUAAAAUAUUGUAAUUAUAUCAUCCACCUAAAGUGCAUUAAUAAUUAUAAAUCGAAGUUAUAAUUGUUUUUUUUUGUUAUUAUGUUUCUUUGGUGUUUUCUUCUGUUAGACAGACAUUUGCGUUCUCUCUCUGUCUCUUCUGUGAUCUGAUCUGAUGCUUCAAACCCACUAAUUGAGAACAUCAAGGAAGUAUCAUCUUUCAAGAACAAGACGAGCAUAAAAUAAAUCACACUCUUCAACAGCUCAGAGUUGUGUGAGAUCCAUCAAAGCAAGUGUUUUCCUGCCAGUUUUGUUUGUUUGUGAAUGAAUUAUUUCUGAGAAACAACUGUUUCUUAGCUUUUCACAUCAAAUAUGUUCAGAAUAGCAUGCUACUCAUAAUAUUUCAGUAUACUGUAGUAUAUAAACUAAGAAUUUAAUACCCAGAUGAGCCACUGUGUUUGGCAAAAUGUGCAUUAUAUAACAUACAGUACAAUAUAGCACUUUGGGGGAAGUCGUGGCCUAGUGGUUAGAGAGUUUGACUCCUGACCCUAAGGUUAUGGGUUCGAGUCUCGGGCCGACAAGGCACCAAACCCCCAACUGCUCCCCGGGCGCCGCAGCAUAAAUGGCUGCCCACUGCUCCGGGUGUGUGUUCACGGUGUGUGUGUUCACUGCUGUGUGUGUGCACUUUGGAUGGGUUAAAUGCAGAGCACCAAUUCUGAGUAUGGGUCACCAUACUUGGUUGUCUGUCACUUCACCUUUCACCUUCAUUGACUCGUUCUUUGAUCAGACAAGUUGAUGAAGAAAUUUCCUCUGAAUGAACUUUACACACAAGCACGUCUACAUUGAGUGAUUUCUAAAGAACCAAUUAUACAAAAAAACAAUGUCUUGUGCAACAUCAGCAAGAAACAUCUGCAGUUCAUGUAACGCUUGCUCAGGGUUUGUUUGGACAUUCAUAGUUUGAACUGUUUAACUCUUGUGUGUAUGAUUAGCAUAAACAAACAUUUUCAUUGUCAAACCUCAAUAAUACAGAUGUUAAACCUGUCAGAGGUCAAGAUCACAAUAAUCCACAAGUAAUCCACAGCACUCCAGUCCAUCAGUGAACAUCUGGAGAAGAUAAAAGCUGCAUGUUUGUAAGAAACAAAUCCAUCAUUAAGACAUUUUUAACUUCAAACAUUGCUUAUGGCUAAAAUAAUCCAUAUUAAAUCUUUCUCCAGUUAUAAAAGUGCAUCUCCUGUUGUCUCUCACAUCAAAAUCCAGACACAUAUUAGUAUGGAGCUGUUUAAACAGUGCUUGAUCUGUGCAGAUUUCUCUCCUGAUUCAGACCAGAACACUUUUUCACUGGAGGAAGCGUUAUUAUGAAUUAUGGACUCGUAUUUUAGCUGGAAGCAACAGUUUAAAGUUAAAAAAUCUUAAUAUUGAAUUUGUUUCUUACAAACAUACAGCUUUUGUCUUCUCCAGAUGUUAACUGAUGGACUGGAGUGCUGUGGAUUACUUGUGGAUUAUUGUGAUGUUUUUAUCAGCUGUUUGGACUCUCAUUCUGACGGCACCCAUUCACUGCAGAGCAUCCAUUGCUGAGACACUGAUGCAAUGCUAAAUCUUUACAAUAUAAAUCACUUGCACGUAUGGAAAAGAGCAGCUCAGACAUUCUGCCCAAUGCUUUUCACAGAAGAAAGCUUGAAUUACAUAAAGGUGAGUAAAUGAUGAUUUUCAAUGUUCAGAUGUCAACUUUCAUCUGCAUCUCUUCGUCUCUCCUAUCGUCUGCUUCAGAUGGACCGGGAUGAUUCAGGAUUUACCGAGUCUCUCUAGGAUUCCCAGUGUGUGAAAGGAAACCAUGUUAAGCUGAGACACUUUUUCCUGCGCAGAGAGGAAGUUGACCCUCUGCAGUUCUCAUCAUGGUAUGGUAAUGUGAAGAACAUACGUGAAGGAAAACAGCACUGGAUUUGCAUCGGUGCGAUAUAUAAUCAUGACAUGUAACACACAUCACGCUUAAUUCUGCUUCCAGUGAGCCUUUCCCUGUUGGAAAAUCCAGCUUAAACCCAGUUUCAAAACACAACUUGUGUAUUUCCAACAUGCUCCUUAAUGUUUACCAGCAUCCAUAUGCUUUUCUCCCAACAGCACCCUUACUGGAGCUCCAGACUGGACCUGUAAUGGAAAGCCAGUGUCGGGACGCCCCAUAUGUUCCCGGUGGACAUGAAUUCUGGGGUACGGUAGGAGGGCUGGGACAGUAAUGAAUUUAGCCUGUCAUUCCAUAGCAGCGUCCAUGACGGACUCAUUAAUACACAUCUGGGGUCAUUAUGAAUCCGACCUUUAUUAUUCCACUUCCACUUCAAAGGAACAGGCAUUUUUGAGACAUUUAUGCUAAUUUUGAGCAUGUGCCAAAACCCCCAAAAAACUCUGCCACGUGCAAUGCAACACGUUUCCAGCGGCAUCUCAUUUUUUUUGAACCUUCAGGGAAAAAAUGACAGAAUGACUACAGAAUAUAUUAAUAACCAAGGGAGUAGAAUUUAGUAGGGAUGCUAAAGACGUGUCCAUAAAAAUAUCCAGCAGCUACUAAAUUGUCCCUAGCUAUAAUUUUGAUCAAACAAUUAAAUAUAUGUAACCACUGUUGUUGUAAUUCAAGAAGUUUAAGUUAAUACACUAGAAAACUGCAUGCUUUCAAGGACGUACAUUUAAUACAUGAGCAGAGUAAGGACAUAUAAAGUAGCCAAAGUGUUUAAAACAUACGAGCACAGAUCAGCUGAAUGAUAAAGUUAACACUCUUUAACUUUGUUGUUAGACUGAAUGUGCAAAGCAAACUGAAAUAUCCACAAUAUUGUCUGCUGUUUGUCCCACCAAUGUCAAAAUCAAACCUACAUCCUUGAUAGUAGUAGUAGUAAU